GGUAUUGCUGGGCUUCAGUGAUAGAGCUUUUCCUUUGCACGCAAAACGUCCCAGGUUCAAUCCCAGGCAUCACCA
RNAcentral lists this transfer RNA (75 nucleotides) under Sphaerodactylus townsendi. RNAcentral's name for it is "tRNA-Ala". The record is from RNAcentral. Lineage: Eukaryota; Metazoa; Chordata; Lepidosauria; Squamata; Sphaerodactylidae.